RNAcentral lists this ribosomal RNA (294 nucleotides) under Clostridioides difficile. RNAcentral describes it as "partial 23S ribosomal RNA". It matches the Rfam family "Bacterial large subunit ribosomal RNA", at positions 363 to 659 of the family's 2925-position model. Lineage: Bacteria; Bacillati; Bacillota; Clostridia; Peptostreptococcales; Peptostreptococcaceae. The record is from RNAcentral.
GGUAAUAGUCCUGUAUGUUAAACGAGAAGACUUUAGAUAUGAUCCAGAGUACCACGGGACACGUGAAACCCUGUGGGAAGCAGGAGGGACCACCCUCCAAGGCUAAAUACUACCUAGUGACCGAUAGCGUAUAGUACCGCGAGGGAAAGGUGAAAAGAACCACGGGAGGGGAGUGAACUAGAACCUGAAACCCUGCACUUACAAGCUGUGGAAGCACAUUUCUUGUGUGACCGCGUACUUUUUGUAGAACGGGCCAACGAGCUACCUUAAGUCGCAAGGUUAAGCACUUAAGGU